CCUACGGGUGGCAGCAGUGAGGAAUAUUGGUCAAUGGUCGGGAGACUGAACCAGCCAAGCCGCGUGAGGGAAGAAGGUACAGCGUAUCGUAAACCUCUUUUGUCAGGGAACAAAGGCGGGGACUCGUCCCCGGAUGAGUGUACCUGAAGAAAAAGCAUCGGCUAACUCCGUUCCAGCAGCCGCGGUACUACGGAGGAUGCGCGCGUUAUCCGGAUUUAUUGGGUUUAAAGGGUGCGCAGGCGGUCUGUUAAGUCGGCGGUAAAAGCCCGGGGCUCAACCCCGGCCCGCCGUUGAAACUGGCAGUCUCGAGUUGGAGAGAGGUAUGCGGAAUGCGCGGUGUAGCGGUGAAAUGCAUAGAUAUCGCGCAGAACUCCGAGUGCGAAGGCAGCAUGCCGGCUCCACACUGACGCUGAGGCACGAAAGCGUGGGUAUCGAACAGGAUUAGAUACCCGUGUAGUC
RNAcentral lists this ribosomal RNA (459 nucleotides) under uncultured bacterium. RNAcentral describes it as "partial 16S ribosomal RNA". It matches the Rfam family "Bacterial small subunit ribosomal RNA", at positions 338 to 795 of the family's 1533-position model. The record is from RNAcentral.